UUUUGCGCAAUGGGGGGAACCCUGACGCAGCGACGCCGCGUGGGUGAUGAAGGCCUUCGGGUUGUAAAGCCCUGUUGGGGGGGAAGAUAAUGACGGUACCCCCUGAGGAAGCCCCGGCUAACUACGUGCCAGCCGCCGCGGUAAGACGUAGGGGGCGAGCGUUGUCCGGAAUUACUGGGCGUAAAGGGCGUGUAGGCGGCCUUUCAAGUCGGCUGUGAAAUACCCCGGCUCAACCGGGGGGGUGCAGUCGAAACUGGGGGGCUUGAGUGCAGGAGAGGAGGGUGGAAUUCCCGGUGGAGCGGUGAUAUGCGUAGAUAUCGGGAGGAACACCGGUGGCGAAGGCGACCUUCUGGCCUGUUACUGACGCUGAGGCGCGAAAGCCGGGGGAGCAAACAGG
This 397-nucleotide ribosomal RNA is filed under the name uncultured bacterium. RNAcentral describes it as "partial 16S ribosomal RNA". It matches the Rfam family "Bacterial small subunit ribosomal RNA", at positions 362 to 776 of the family's 1533-position model. The record is from RNAcentral.